RNAcentral lists this ribosomal RNA (328 nucleotides) under uncultured eukaryote. Its description in RNAcentral is "partial 18S ribosomal RNA". It matches the Rfam family "Eukaryotic small subunit ribosomal RNA", at positions 1469 to 1796 of the family's 1831-position model. The record is from RNAcentral.
UCCCUUAGAUGUCCUGGGCCGCACGCGCGUUACACUGAUGCACUCAACGAGCAUAUAACCUUGGCCGAGAGGCCUGGGUAAUCUUGUUAACAUGCAUCGUGAUAGGGAUAGAUUAUUGCAAUUAUUAAUCUUGAACGAGGAAUUCCUAGUAAUCGCAGAUCAUCAAUCUGCAAUGAUUACGUCCCUGCCCUUUGUACACACCGCCCGUCGCACCUACCGAUUGAAUGGUCCGGUGAGGACUCGGGAUUGUGGUUUGGCUCCUUCAUUGGGGCCUGACUGUGAGAACUUGUCCAAACCUUAUCAUUUAGAGGAAGGUGAAGUCGUAACA